This 433-nucleotide ribosomal RNA is filed under the name uncultured bacterium. Its description in RNAcentral is "partial 16S ribosomal RNA". It matches the Rfam family "Bacterial small subunit ribosomal RNA", at positions 29 to 507 of the family's 1533-position model. The record is from RNAcentral.
AACGAACGCUGGCGGCAUGCCUAACACAUGCAAGUCGAACGAGACCUCCGGGUCUAGUGGCGCACGGGUGCGUAACGCGUGGGAACCUGCCCUUAGGUUCGGAAUAACUCCCCGAAAGGGGUGCUAAUACCGGAUAAUGUCUUCGGACCAAAGAUUUAUCGCCUUUGGAUGGGCCCGCGUUGGAUUAGCUAGUUGGUAGGGUAAAAGCCUACCAAGGCGACGAUCCAUAGCUGGUCUGAGAGGAUGAUCAGCCACACUGGGACUGAGACACGGCCCAGACUCCUACAGGAUGCAGCAGUGGGGAAUAUUGGACAAUGGGCUGAAGCCUGAACCAGCAAUGCCGCGUGAGUGAUGAAGGCCUUAGGGUUGUAAAGCUCUUUUACCCGGGAUGAUAAUGACAGUACCGGGAGAAUAAGCUCCGGCUAACUCCGUG